AAAAUUAGAGUGUUCAAAGCAGGCAGAUCCAAUUUUCUGCCACCGAAUACAUUAGCAUGGGAUAAUGGAAUAGGACCCUGUCCUCCUAUUUUCAGUUGGUUUUGGCAGCGCGAGGACUAGGGUAAUGAUUAAUAGGGAUAGUUGGGGGCAUUAAUAUUUAAUUGUCAGAGGUGAAAUUCUUGGAUUUAUGAAAGAUUAACUUCUGCGAAAGCAUCUGCCAAGGAUGUUUUCAUUAAUCAAGAACGAAAGUUAGGGGAUCGAAGACGAUCAGAUACCGUCGUAGUCUUAACCAUAAACGAUGCCGACCAGCGAUUAGGAGACGUUGAAUACAAAACACCACCAUCGGUGCGGUCGUCCUUGGCGGUUGGUCUUCAAAAGCCAGCGGCGGGGGUGGCUUAGCCCGGUGGCACCGGUGAA
This 417-nucleotide ribosomal RNA is filed under the name Acanthamoeba sp. IMU1. Its description in RNAcentral is "SSU rRNA". It matches the Rfam family "Eukaryotic small subunit ribosomal RNA", at positions 762 to 1096 of the family's 1831-position model. Lineage: Eukaryota; Discosea; Longamoebia; Acanthamoebidae. RNAcentral also lists the same sequence under 6 other names. The record is from RNAcentral.